UAUGGUUACUAGCUGUUCGGAGCACAAUAGUGCAUUGAAGUGGUUAAGCGAAAGUGAUAAGUAACCCACCUGGGGAGUACGUUUGCAAGAAUGAAACUCAAAAGGAAUUGACGGGGGCCCGCACAAGCGGUGGAGCAUGUGGUUUAAUUCGAUGAUACGCGAGGAACCUUACCAAGGCUUAAAUGCAUAUUGACAGUUCACGAAAGUGAAUUUUCUUCGGACAAUUUGCAAGGUGCUGCAUGGUUGUCGUCAGCUCGUGCCGUGAGGUGUCAGGUUAAGUCCUAUAACGAGCGCAACCCCUGUGGUUAGUUACCAGCAUGUAAAGAUGGGGACUCUAGCCAGACUGCCGGUGCAAACCGUGAGGAAGGUGGGGAUGACGUCAAAUCAUCACGGCCCUUACGCCUUGGGCUACACACGUGUUACAAUGGUAUAUACAAUGAGCAGCCAUCUGGUGACAGAGCGCUAAUCUAAAAAGUAUAUCACAGUUCGAAUCGGAGUCUGCAACUCGACUCUGUGAAGCUGGAAUCGCUAGUAAUCGCACAUCAGCCAUGGUGCGGUGAAUACGUUCCCGGGCCUUGUACACACCGCCCGUCAAGCCAUGGAAGCUGGGAGUGCCUGAAGUCCGUAGCCGAAAGGAGCGGCCUAGGGUAAAACUAGUAACUGGGGCUAAGUCGUAACAAGGUA
This 684-nucleotide ribosomal RNA is filed under the name uncultured bacterium. Its description in RNAcentral is "bacterial SSU rRNA". It matches the Rfam family "Bacterial small subunit ribosomal RNA", at positions 808 to 1498 of the family's 1533-position model. The record is from RNAcentral.